AGCGAACGCUGGCGGCAGGCUUAACACAUGCAAGUCGAACGGUCCUUCGGGAUAGUGGCGGACGGGUGAGUAACACGUGGGAACGUACCCUUAGGUUCGGAACAACACAGGGAAACUUGUGCUAAUACCGGAUAAGCCCUUCGGGGGAAAGAUUUAUCGCCUUUGGAGCGGCCCGCGCCUGAUUAGCUUGUUGGUGAGGUAAUGGCUCACCAAGGCUACGAUCAGUAGCUGGUCUGAGAGGAUGGCUAGCCACACUGGGACUGAGACACGGCCCAGACUCCUACGGGAGGCAGCAGUGGGGAAUCUUGCGCAAUGGGCGAAAGCCUGACGCAGCCAUGCCGCGUGGACGAUGAAGGUCUUAGGAUUGUAAAAUCCUUUCACCGGGGACGAUAAUGACGGUACCCGGAGAAGAAGCCCCGGCUAACUUCGUGCCAGCAGCCGCCGUAA
This 447-nucleotide ribosomal RNA is filed under the name uncultured bacterium. RNAcentral describes it as "partial 16S ribosomal RNA". It matches the Rfam family "Bacterial small subunit ribosomal RNA", at positions 29 to 523 of the family's 1533-position model. The record is from RNAcentral.